GACGAACGCUGGCGGCGUGCUUAACACAUGCAAGUCGAACGAUGAAGCGGUGCUUGCACCGUGGUUUAGUGGCGAACGGGUGAGUAAUACGUGAGUGACCUACCUUUGACUCUGGGAUAAGCCUGGGAAACUGGGUCUAAUACCGGAUACGACCAAUCUCUGCAUGGGGUGUUGGUGGAAAGCGUUAUGGAGUGGUUUUAGAUGGGCUCACGGCCUAUCAGCUUGUUGGUGAGGUAAUGGCUUACCAAGGCGACGACGGGUAGCCGGCCUGAGAGGGUGACUGGCCACACUGGGACUGAGACACGGCCCAGACUCCUACGGGAGGCAGCAGUGGGGAAUAUUGCACAAUGGGCGCAAGCCUGAUGCAGCGACGCCGCGUGAGGGAUGACGGCCUUCGGGUUGUAAACCUCUGUUAGCAUCGAAGAAGCGAAAGUGACGGUAGGUGCAGAGAAAGCGCCGGCUAACUACGUG
RNAcentral lists this ribosomal RNA (471 nucleotides) under uncultured bacterium. RNAcentral's name for it is "partial 16S ribosomal RNA". It matches the Rfam family "Bacterial small subunit ribosomal RNA", at positions 28 to 507 of the family's 1533-position model. The record is from RNAcentral.